RNAcentral lists this long non-coding RNA (1467 nucleotides) under Parus major (Great Tit). Its description in RNAcentral is "lncRNA (ENSPMJG00000002009.1)". Lineage: Eukaryota; Metazoa; Chordata; Aves; Passeriformes; Paridae. The record is from RNAcentral.
UUUUUGGGGAAAUUUUUGGGGAUUUUUUUGGAAAUUUGGGGGUAAAUUCUGUGGAUUUUUGGGUUUUUUGGGGGGGAAUUUUUGGGGGAUUUUUGGGGAUUUUUUCGGGAAUUUUUUGGGAUUUUUUUGGGGAUUUUUCGGGGAAUUUUUGGGGAAUUUUUCGGGUCCAUUUUGUGGAAUUUUGGGGGAGUUUUGGACAAAUUUGGGGGGAAUUUGGGGAAUUUGGGGGAGUCCCAGGUGAGUUCCAGCUGUAUCCAGGUGUCCCCAGCUGUCCCCAGGUGUGUCCAGGUGUCCCCAGGUGUCUCCAGGUGUCUCCAGGUGAGUUUCCAGUUGUCCCCAGUUGUCCCCAGGUGUCCCCAGGUGUCCCCAGCUGUCCCCAGGUGUCCCCAGGUGUAUCUCAGGUGUCUCCAGGUGUGUCCAGGUGAGUUUCCAGGUGUGUCCAGGUGUGUCUCAGGUGUCCCCAGUUGUAUCUCAGGUGUCCCCAGGUGUCUCCAGUUGUCCCCAGGUGUCCCCAGGUGUCCCCAGGUGUGUCUCAGGUGUGUCCCCAGGUGUUCCCAGUUGUCCCCAGCUGUCCCCAGUUGUCCCCAGGUGUGUCUCAGGUGUGUCCAGGUGUGUCUCAGGUGUGUCCAGUUGUAUCUCAGGUGUCCCCAGCUGUCUCCAGGUGUCCCCAGGUGUCCCCAGGUGUCCCCAGUUGUAUCUCAGGUGUCCCCAGGUGUCCCCAGCUGUGUCUCAGCUGCAGGGCCGGAAGGGCCGGGCGGUGACGCCCCCGUGCAGCUCCAGCCCCGCCCUGGCCCAGGCCAGCAGGUCCCCGCGGGCGGGUGACGCACACCUGGCCAGCGCCGCCACCUCGGGCGGGGCCAGGGCGCGGCUCCACAGGUGGAACUCGGCCAAUUCGCCCACGAACGCCUGGGUGGCGUCAAAACGACCCCCGAGGGAGUCCUGGGGGAGAGAGACAGGGGGGAUACACCUGAGGAGGGGUGAAAUACACCUGGGACAGGUGAAAGACACCUGGGGAGGGAUGAAAUACACCUGGGGAGGGGUGAAAUACACCUGGGGAGGGGUAAAAUACACCUGGAGAGGGGUGAAAUACACCUGGGGACACACAGACACACCCGGGGACAGGUAAAAUACACCUGGGGAGGGGUGAAAUACACCCAGAGCACACACAGACACACCUGGGGACACCUGGGACAGGUGAAAUACACCUGGAGACACACAGACACACCUGGGGACACGUGGGGAGGGGUGAAAUACACCUGGAGAGGGGUGAGACACACCUGGGGACACACAGACACACCUGGGGACACACAGACACACCUGGGGACACACAGACACACCUGGGGAGGGGUAAAACACACCUGGGACACACCUAAACACACCUGGAGUUCACCCAGACACACCUGAACUCACACCUGAACUCACACCUGAACUCACACCUGAACUCACACCUGAACUCACACCUGAACU